UCGGGGAGUAGCGCAGCCUGGUAGCGCAUCUGCUUUGGGAGCAGAGGGUCGCAGGUUCGAAUCCUGUCUCCCCGACCCA
RNAcentral lists this transfer RNA (79 nucleotides) under Iodidimonas gelatinilytica. RNAcentral's name for it is "tRNA-Pro". It matches the Rfam family "tRNA". From Rfam's summary of the family: Transfer RNA (tRNA) molecules are approximately 80 nucleotides in length. Their secondary structure includes four short double-helical elements and three loops (D, anti-codon, and T loops). The record is from RNAcentral. Lineage: Bacteria; Pseudomonadati; Pseudomonadota; Alphaproteobacteria; Iodidimonadales; Iodidimonadaceae.